ACGCUCUACAUCUGCAAGAAGAAGAAAACCACACAAACACCAGACUGUAGUUUGGUCCUGCCGGGUCUCCAAACUCACAGCAAAGACCCAAGACCAACACAACACACUGAACCAGGUGUGUGUGGAGAGGUGCAGUAUGCUGUGGUAAACAUAAUGCAGAGGAGCGGGGGACAGCAGAGGGGGCAGCAGCAGGUGGAGUACGGGCAGGUCAAAAAACCUGCUCUCCCCGGCUCACCUGUGCAGCAGGUGUACAGUGUGUAUGCCCAGGUGGGCCCUGCACAGGGCCUGCAGUCUGAUAGAGCUCUGGCAAACCCCACAGAUAUCCAUUAGUCUCCUUAUUUAACAUUUACAUGAGUCAUUACAGGCCUCAGGAUGACUCAGCAGAAUUGAACAUUUACACUUGAGGUGACAAGCCUCAUGAUGACUCAGCAAUGACAGGUCUGAUAUGAUGCAGUAAUGUGUGAGCUUUGCCACAGGUUUUGUGUUGCCAGACUAGGGGUGGGAUUUGCCACAGAAGCAACGAUACGAUAUUAUCACAAUACUUUCUUAUUAUUCUUAUUUCUUUCCAGAGUAGAAACAUGUACCAAAAUAAAAGAAAAAAAUCAUACUAUUAAAAAAAUAAAUAUCAUGAUAUUUGGCACCGACAUAUUGUGCCAAAAAAUAUUGCGAUACUAUACAAUAUCGAUUUUCUCUCCCACCUCUAGCCAGACCUACCAGGCCUAUUAAACAUUCUGCUGUGUGUGUGUGGCGCGCGCACGCCCACUACUGCAUGAUGCCAUGAUUUCAUUUGGAAAGCAAUUCUAUGAAAUACCUGCAGCAUAAUUGUACAUACCUAUACCAGGACAGUGUGUGUACGUGUAGAAGCUAACAGGAGAGUGUGUGUGCGCGUGUAAGGCUCCAGGAUAGUGUUUGUGUGUGUGUGAAGAAGCCACCAGGACAGUGUGUGUACGUGAAGAAAGGCACCAGGACAGUGUGUGUACAACUAGAAGCCACCAGGAUAGUGUGUGUACGUGAAGAAAGGCACCAGGAUAGUGUGUGUACGUGUAGAAGCCACCAGGACAGUGUGUGUACAACUAGAAGCCACCAGGAUAGUGUGUGUACGUGUAGAAGGCACCAGGACAGUGUGUGUACGUGUAGAAGGCCCUAUAAACCCUCAUCACUAGGGCUUAGCUGGGCUCUGAAGGCAAAUAAAUGUACCUGCUCAAUAAA
This is a long non-coding RNA of Clupea harengus (Atlantic herring), 1209 nucleotides long. RefSeq lists it as uncharacterized. NCBI's taxonomy places the organism in Eukaryota, Metazoa, Chordata, Actinopteri, Clupeiformes, Clupeidae. The record is from RefSeq and is a predicted model, not a curated record. The transcript has 3 exons.